RNAcentral lists this long non-coding RNA (390 nucleotides) under Gossypium raimondii (Peruvian cotton). RNAcentral's name for it is "long non-coding RNA (GRAI_LNC001542)". Lineage: Eukaryota; Viridiplantae; Streptophyta; Magnoliopsida; Malvales; Malvaceae. The record is from RNAcentral.
UUUCUGUUGGAGUUUUUUUGUCAUUCAUUUUGCAUUUUUUGUGUUGUUGGUGGUGCGAAUUUUUUAGUUGUUGAGGGUGUGGUGAGGAUGUAUUUAUGGUGGCGAUAGUAAAUGGAGUGGUGGUGAGGGGGUUUGGAUUUGAUAGUGGUGGUGAUGUAUGGCAGUUGGUUAAUUGGAUAAUGGUGGUGGUUAAUUAGUGUUCAGAGAGGUUGAUGAUGGUGUGGUUAAGAUAACAACAAAUUUGAAUUUUUUUUAAGUUUUUUUGUAAAAAGAAAAGAAAAAAUAAGUUGAAAGAGGUUGAAGCGGGAAACGAAGUUAACAGGGACGAAAUGGUUGAAGCAGGAAGCAAACAUGGCCGGUUGAAGAGGUUAGUAGAAUGAGUUAUAAGAU